CGCGUGAGCGACAUGCCCGUUGCCCGGGGACAACCGGUGGAAACGCCGACUAAUCCCCGAUGGGAUACGAUGCUGCAUGGCAUUGUAUUGAAAGUUACGGCGGCGACGGAUUGGCUCGCGUCCGAUUAGCUGGUUGGCGGGGUAUCGGCCCACCAAGGCUGCGAUCGGUAGGGGUUCUGAGAGGAAGGCCCCCCACAAUGGGACUGAGACACGGCCCAUACUCCUACGGGAGGCAGCAGUGAGGAAUAUUGGUCAAUGGGCGGAAGCCUGAACCAGCCAUGCCGCGUGCGGGAAGGAGGCCCUAUGGGCUGUGAACCGCUUUUGCCUGGGGGCAAUAAGGGCGUCGCGCACGCCCGAUGAGAGUACCAGGCGAAUAAGCAUCGGCUAACUCCGUGCCAGCAGCCGCGGUAAUACGGGGGAUGCGAGCGUUAUCCGGAUUCAUUGGGUUUAAAGGGUGCGUAGGCUGUGCGUCAAGUCGGGGGUGAAA
This 487-nucleotide ribosomal RNA is filed under the name uncultured bacterium. RNAcentral describes it as "bacterial SSU rRNA". It matches the Rfam family "Bacterial small subunit ribosomal RNA", at positions 114 to 599 of the family's 1533-position model. The record is from RNAcentral.